GAUGAACGCUGGCGGCGUGCCUAAUACAUGCAAGUCGAGCGAAUGGAUUAAGAGCUUGCUCUUAUGAAGUUAGCGGCGGACGGGUGAGUAACACGUGGGUAACCUGCCCAUAAGACUAGGAUAACUCCGGGAAACCGGGGCUAAUACCGGAUAACAUUUUGAACCGCAUGGUUCGAAAUUGAAAGGCGGCUUCGGCUGUCACUUAUGGAUGGACCCGCGUCGCAUUAGCUAGUUGGUGAGGUAACGGCUCACCAAGGCAACGGUGCGUAGCCGACCUAAGAGGGUGAUCGGCCACACUGGGACUGAGACACGGCCCAGACUCCUACGGGAGGCAGCAGUAGGGAAUCUUCCGCAAUGGACGAAAGUCUGACGGAGCAACGCCGCGUGAGUGAUGAAGGCUUUCGGGUCGUAAAACUCUGUUGUUAGGGAAGAACAAGUGCUAGUUGAAUAAGCUGGCACCUUGACGGUACCUAGCCAGAAAGCCACGGCUAACUACGUGCCAGCAGCCGCGGUAA
This 515-nucleotide ribosomal RNA is filed under the name uncultured bacterium. Its description in RNAcentral is "partial 16S ribosomal RNA". It matches the Rfam family "Bacterial small subunit ribosomal RNA", at positions 28 to 523 of the family's 1533-position model. The record is from RNAcentral.